RNAcentral lists this ribosomal RNA (1576 nucleotides) under Lactiplantibacillus plantarum. Its description in RNAcentral is "Lactobacillus plantarum 16S ribosomal RNA". It matches the Rfam family "Bacterial small subunit ribosomal RNA". The record is from RNAcentral. Lineage: Bacteria; Bacillati; Bacillota; Bacilli; Lactobacillales; Lactobacillaceae.
UUAAUUUGAGAGUUUGAUCCUGGCUCAGGACGAACGCUGGCGGCGUGCCUAAUACAUGCAAGUCGAACGAACUCUGGUAUUGAUCGGUGCUUGCAUCAUGAUUUACAUUUGAGUGAGUGGCGAACUGGUGAGUAACACGUGGGAAACCUGCCCAGAAGCGGGGGAUAACACCUGGAAACAGAUGCUAAUACCGCAUAACAACUUGGACCGCAUGGUCCGAGUUUGAAAGAUGGCUUCGGCUAUCACUUUUGGAUGGUCCCGCGGCGUAUUAGCUAGAUGGUGGGGUAACGGCUCACCAUGGCAAUGAUACGUAGCCGACCUGAGAGGGUAAUCGGCCACAUUGGGACUGAGACACGGCCCAAACUCCUACGGGAGGCAGCAGUAGGGAAUCUUCCACAAUGGACGAAAGUCUGAUGGAGCAACGCCGCGUGAGUGAAGAAGGGUUUCGGCUCGUAAAACUCUGUUGUUAAAGAAGAACAUAUCUGAGAGUAACUGUUCAGGUAUUGACGGUAUUUAACCAGAAAGCCACGGCUAACUACGUGCCAGCAGCCGCGGUAAUACGUAGGUGGCAAGCGUUGUCCGGAUUUAUUGGGCGUAAAGCGAGCGCAGGCGGUUUUUUAAGUCUGAUGUGAAAGCCUUCGGCUCAACCGAAGAAGUGCAUCGGAAACUGGGAAACUUGAGUGCAGAAGAGGACAGUGGAACUCCAUGUGUAGCGGUGAAAUGCGUAGAUAUAUGGAAGAACACCAGUGGCGAAGGCGGCUGUCUGGUCUGUAACUGACGCUGAGGCUCGAAAGUAUGGGUAGCAAACAGGAUUAGAUACCCUGGUAGUCCAUACCGUAAACGAUGAAUGCUAAGUGUUGGAGGGUUUCCGCCCUUCAGUGCUGCAGCUAACGCAUUAAGCAUUCCGCCUGGGGAGUACGGCCGCAAGGCUGAAACUCAAAGGAAUUGACGGGGGCCCGCACAAGCGGUGGAGCAUGUGGUUUAAUUCGAAGCUACGCGAAGAACCUUACCAGGUCUUGACAUACUAUGCAAAUCUAAGAGAUUAGACGUUCCCUUCGGGGACAUGGAUACAGGUGGUGCAUGGUUGUCGUCAGCUCGUGUCGUGAGAUGUUGGGUUAAGUCCCGCAACGAGCGCAACCCUUAUUAUCAGUUGCCAGCAUUAAGUUGGGCACUCUGGUGAGACUGCCGGUGACAAACCGGAGGAAGGUGGGGAUGACGUCAAAUCAUCAUGCCCCUUAUGACCUGGGCUACACACGUGCUACAAUGGAUGGUACAACGAGUUGCGAACUCGCGAGAGUAAGCUAAUCUCUUAAAGCCAUUCUCAGUUCGGAUUGUAGGCUGCAACUCGCCUACAUGAAGUCGGAAUCGCUAGUAAUCGCGGAUCAGCAUGCCGCGGUGAAUACGUUCCCGGGCCUUGUACACACCGCCCGUCACACCAUGAGAGUUUGUAACACCCAAAGUCGGUGGGGUAACCUUUUAGGAACCAGCCGCCUAAGGUGGGACAGAUGAUUAGGGUGAAGUCGUAACAAGGUAGCCGUAGGAGAACCUGCGGCUGGAUCACCUCCUUUCUAAGGAA